This 252-nucleotide long non-coding RNA is filed under the name Castor canadensis (American beaver). RNAcentral describes it as "lncRNA (ENSCCNG00000031814.1)". Lineage: Eukaryota; Metazoa; Chordata; Mammalia; Rodentia; Castoridae. The record is from RNAcentral.
AUGAGCAAGGAAAGACCCAAGAGGAAUAUCAUUCAGAAGAAAUACCUUAUGACUAGAAAAUGCACCAGUAUAUUAACAGCCAGAAAGUCCAAGCAAGGAUCACAGAACACCAUCAUGAGGAACACCUUUCACAGUGGCAGUGGUUUGAGUGUGUGGAUGCAGUUUGGAGGGAGAAAUGACCCACAAUGGGCAAUGAAGAAACACUCUCCUGCAUGUCACCGUGUAGAUACUUGGAGGGCACAAACUAGCUAG